This 985-nucleotide ribosomal RNA is filed under the name human gut metagenome. RNAcentral describes it as "bacterial LSU rRNA". It matches the Rfam family "Bacterial large subunit ribosomal RNA", at positions 1946 to 2925 of the family's 2925-position model. The record is from RNAcentral.
CGGUCCUAAGGUAGCGAAAUUCCUUGUCGGGCAAGUUCCGACCUGCACGAAUGGCAUAAUAAUGGCCACACUGUCUCCUCCCGAGACUCAGUGAAAUUGAAAUGUUUGUGAUGAUGCAAUCUCCCCGCGGCUAGACGGAAAGACCCCAUGAACCUUUACUGUAGCUUUGCAUUGGACUUUGAACCGAUCUGUGUAGGAUAGGCGGGAGACUGUGAAGCGAGGACGCCAGUUCUCGCGGAGUCGUCCUUGAAAUACCGCCCUGAUUUGUUUGAGGUUCUAACCUAGGUCAGUCAUCCUGAUCGGGGACCGUGCAUGGUAGGCAGUUUGACUGGGGCGGUCUCCUCCUAAAGGGUAACGGAGGAGUGCGAAGGUACGCUAAUCACGGUCGGAAAUCGUGAGGAUACUGCAAUGGGAAAAGCGUGCCUGACUGCGAGACAGACAAGUCGAGCAGAUGCGAAAGCAGGUCAUAGUGAUCCGGUGGCUUCUGUAUGGAAGGGCCAUCGCUCAACGGAUAAAAGGUACUCUGGGGAUAACAGGCUGAUACCGCCCAAGAGUUCAUAUCGACGGCGGUGUUUGGCACCUCGAUGUCGGCUCAUCUCAUCCUGGGGCUGUAGCCGGUCCCAAGGGUAUGGCUGUUCGCCAUUUAAAGAGGUACGUGAGCUGGGUUUAAAACGUCGUGAGACAGUUUGGUCCCUAUCUACCGCGGGCGCUGGAAGAUUGACAGGGGCUGCUCCUAGUACGAGAGGACCGGAGUGGACGCACCUCUGGUGUAUCGGUUGUGACGCCAGUCGCAUUGCCGAGUAGCUAUGUGCGGAAGAGAUAACCGCUGAAAGCAUCUAAGCGGGAAACUUGCCUGAAGAUUAGUCUUCCCGGAGGCUUGACCUCCCUGAAGGGUCGUCCGAGACCAGGACGUUGAUAGGCCAGGUGUGGAAGCGCUGUGAGGCGUGAAGCUAACUGGUACUAAUUGCCCGUGCGGCUUGAUCCU